Molecule: long non-coding RNA, 1018 nt
Organism: Brienomyrus brachyistius
Lineage: Eukaryota; Metazoa; Chordata; Actinopteri; Osteoglossiformes; Mormyridae
Exons: 5
Source: RefSeq, a predicted model, not a curated record
ACCAACAGCUCCCCGAAUAUUCAGUGCAGCCUCAUAAUGCAUUCCUAGAAGAUUCAUAAGCAGCAUGUCAGGAGGCACGUCUAAUAAACAGAAGGAAUCUAUAUAAUCUCCUUUCUCUCUCGGAUGAGAUUCUGUAGAACAACCAGGCUUGUAUCCUUGCCGGUUAGUGCAUGUAAUUGAAUAAAAACUAUCCGGAAAUUUGGCUAAACAAAUGUGAUAAAAAAAUAAGCGGCAGGCAGCGUAAUGAAGCCUUAUUUUGCCCGCCCGGUGGGCGGUCCGACGGGCGUUUGACGUCACGUGAAAACUGACGUAAUAGUUACGUCAAAAAGAACCAUAGGCGUAUACAAUCUGGUGUGAGCGGAAACGCAAUUCAUUUUCAAUUCGCACUUGUGGAAGAGUAACGUAGCAAAAAUGUGCUCCUGGUGUUUCCCCUGCUUCUGGUUCAGUGGGUCAUCAGACGAUGAGGAGGAUCUGAUUGUUGAGGAGGAUGAAGUGCACGAUGUGGAAACGAUCGAGGCACAGCCGGUGUCCAUUUGGAUGCCAGAUUAAAGAUGUUAUUGUGCAGUCCCCCCACAGCAAACUCAGCAGACCCAGACUCCCAAACUGCAAACAAGAACGAAGGCAGCAUGAUUAAAUACCAGGCUCCUUGUGAUCAGCCUUCACGAGGAAUCCAUACGACAAACUAAAUUGUGUUGGGCGCAGAUACUCUCACCAUUAAGAGAGCGAGGAAACGUGGAGAUGUCCCAUUGCAAACUGCAUGUUGCACGCAACGCGACACAUUGCCCACGAGAAGCGCCAGCAUAAGGCAAAGAUCCUGCACACAAACAGGAUCCUGUAGAGGGCACUGUCUGUGCUAAAUCGAAGGCUCUGUCUUGCAAAAUAUCUUCCGCUUGUGACGUAUCGCUCAGCUAUAUGCCGAUGAUGCAGCUUCAAGUCACCCCGGAAGUUUGAAGUUAACCUUUACUGCCUCAGCAGGAGUUCACAUCAAUAAAAUACGUUUACAAAUGUUUGUUAGAAA